Small nucleolar RNA from Mangifera indica (mango), 104 nucleotides. NCBI's taxonomy places the organism in Eukaryota, Viridiplantae, Streptophyta, Magnoliopsida, Sapindales, Anacardiaceae. The record is from RefSeq and is a predicted model, not a curated record.
ACGUAACGAGGGUACUAUAUUUGUAAAUCUUUAAACCUCUUUCAAGCUUUAUAUAAAAACUCAUCAUCUCUUUGGUAAAAAGUAGCGAUUUCAUUUUUUAAUUU